Molecule: non-coding RNA, 30 nt
Filed under: Rattus norvegicus (Norway rat)
Lineage: Eukaryota; Metazoa; Chordata; Mammalia; Rodentia; Muridae
Source: RNAcentral
UAGGUCUGACCAGGAAGACAGUGUGGACUU